UCAAUUCACAACCAAAACCAACAUCUUAUUCCAUUAUCACCAUUAGAAAUUGUGAAGUUUUCUUACCUCAUUCCUCUAUUUUGGUCUUGAACCACCACCAUCGCAGCCGCCACUUUUCUCGGCCUUCAUUUACCACCACGACCACCUGCUGCCUCCAUCAUUCCCAGCCACCCGCACCCGCACCAAACCAGUCAACACCUCUUCCACCACCUCGCCUCACUGCUGGCUGCUUUAAUCGACCACCACCGCCACAAUCCCCACCCCUUUCCUUCGACCAAAUCGGCCCGCAGUGCCGCACUCCCCUGCCUCUAUCAUCCUUUGCCUCUGCCGCACCACCCAGCCACAAAGACACCACACUCCGGCCACCUAACCUCGUCUUAGAACCAUCUCCGCCCCAAACAACCCAGCGAACGGCCGCUGCGCCGACCAGACUUGACCGGAAACACCCCUCCCCUGUUUUCCCCUGUUUUACUCAACCACCCUCUUCCUCCUUCCUUUUUGUUCCGCCGCACCGCAAUCACCAUCACCAUCACCGGCGCGCUUUAGCGCCGCCGUGCCGCCCAGCCAGCCGCCGCCUGUCUCCCUUCUUCUCCCCUCCUCCUUCGUGCCCCCUCCCCUGCUGCUCGUGUUCUACAAUUUCAGAAACAAAGUUUCUGAAAUUGAAACUUUGUUUUAUUCCUCCUUAUUCAAGUUGGGCCAAAUCAAUUGGGCUUUGGAAUCGGACUUGAAGCUCAGGACGAACGAUCCAUCGAAUAGGAAGUAUAAACUACGGUUGAGGUACGAAGAAGAUCGUGGGAUGCCUUAGAGUGAGGAUGCAACCAUCAAAUUCACGAUCGAUGUUUAAUAAAGAUAACUAUGUCUCACUAGUAAUAAUGGAUGUAUUAUUUAAACUCUAAGUAUUAAGUUAGAUUUUAAUAUUUAUCUUUAAUCAAUGUUAGGAAUAUUUAUUAAAGUUCGUUUAGAUUUCGGUGUAAAUAUUAAAGAAUUAAUCGAAGUGAAGUAUAAUUACAGUUACUCAACAGUAGUCAGUAAAUUUAAAAAGGGUAUGUCGCCUUGUAUUUCCCACGAGGGAGAUACGGCAGUGACGCUCCGACUAAAUUAGGGUUUCCGCUGCUAAUUAAAGGUAAUUAACCUAAUUAAUGGUGUUUAAAAGUCGGGGCGUUACAUUUUAACACACAAAUAAGUUUAUUUCAGUCUAAAUAAGCUUAUAAACUUAGUGCAUAUGAGUUCAGAUAAAGUUAGUUAAGUUCAGAUAAUAUAAGUUCAGACAAAAUAAGUCGAAUAGAACGGAGCCUAAAAACAAAUUGAUAAUCUUUUAUAUAAGGUGUCGCUUCGGUGGCAGUUAGUCAUUCAACUUCAAAGAAACAACAGAUAAAAAAAAUAAAAAUAAAAAGUGGUAUUCUCUUUGUGCAGAAUAAAGUAUUGUGUAAAGUGCAGGUUCUGCUUGACUUUUAAGUUUUAUGUGUAAUUUCGUUCAGAGUUUCGAUCUCUAACCAUGGCAAAUGAUGUAGUCAAGGAGUGAGAGAAGUUUUGUCUGACCGAGGAGGAAGAGAUUGUAGUAGGAGGUGAUUUUGAGGAUGAUAACGAUGUGUAUUCAAGAACCCAGGUUUCUUUAUCACUUGUGGGAAAGCUUAGUACUCAUAAGUCGUACAACGUCUAAGCGAUGAAGAGAACGCUACUGUAAUAGCUCACGCGUCAUGAGCUGCUUGUCGGACCGAGCUUCGCGCCUAAGCCUAAUUUCACUCAAUUUAACAUACUUUGUCGUGCUUUUUCAAAAAAAAAAGGAGGCUAGGGCACAUCCCAAGAGUUCAUUAAUGCUCGUACAUGGCGUGUUGUUUUCAUGUUGUGUUGUAUCUUGCCUUAAACCGGCCCGCCCCCAAUCCGACUCGACCAAUGCCAUAUUUAAUUGAAAGCUCUUCAAUAUUAUCAUACUUAUCUUUCACCCCUUCUUUUUUCAUAAGAAAAGUAAACCCAAUAUCGCAACGUAAAGUAUUUUUAAAAUUAUUUCGGAUCGGACUCCCUAAAACCAUCCUUUAAAAUAAAACAAAAAAAUAAACACUCGGACCCUUUUCCUUUGUGAAAACCGAAAGGGAGUUUCCUCCUAUUAAAACGCAAUCCAUUGGCCGUGAAAUCCUCAAUUCACCAAUUUUAAUAUUUCCCAA
Spinacia oleracea (spinach) is the source of this 2162-nucleotide long non-coding RNA. RefSeq lists it as uncharacterized. The record is from RefSeq and is a predicted model, not a curated record. Lineage: Eukaryota; Viridiplantae; Streptophyta; Magnoliopsida; Caryophyllales; Amaranthaceae. The transcript is spliced from 3 exons.